CUUUGCCGGUGUCCAGUGGGCCGGUGCCGUCUUUGUCUCUUCUGACGGUUUCCCUGAGACGCUGCUGGUAUUGACGAAGGGAUGAAGAGCAAUGGAUGGAGAUCCGGAUGUCGGAUGUGGAGCAGGAAUUCUGAUGAGCUCAGCGGGGGGGGACCACGGCCGGUGAGAUCUGGAGUUGCUGAAGCGACUGACACAAUGGACGGGUUCCGGUUCCAAGCGUGGACCGUUGACGUCGUCCUCGUGAUGUGACCCGGGCGUUUGUGGACUCCCUACCAGGCCGCAAAACAGGAGAAAACAAGACACGGCAGUUAAACUUUCCCAAUGAGGAACCCGGCUGGCUAUCAGAAGACUUCCCCGCCAACCACGAUCAAUCCUCAUAAGCCUGUUUUCUGGCAAAUUCCCCAAAUCCACAAUCAAUACUCCUAACAGCAGCAAACAAAACAGCAUCUCAUAAUGAGCAGAGAAG
Gasterosteus aculeatus aculeatus (three-spined stickleback) is the source of this 466-nucleotide long non-coding RNA. Lineage: Eukaryota; Metazoa; Chordata; Actinopteri; Perciformes; Gasterosteidae. The record is from Ensembl.